This 1226-nucleotide ribosomal RNA is filed under the name metagenome. RNAcentral's name for it is "bacterial SSU rRNA". It matches the Rfam family "Bacterial small subunit ribosomal RNA", at positions 262 to 1498 of the family's 1533-position model. The record is from RNAcentral.
CGGCCACCAAGGCAACGAUCAGUAGGGGUUCUGAGAGGAAGGUCCCCCACAUUGGAACUGAGACACGGUCCAAACUCCUACGGGAGGCAGCAGUGAGGAAUAUUGGUCAAUGGGCGAGAGCCUGAACCAGCCAAGUAGCGUGCAGGAAGACGGCCCUAUGGGUUGUAAACUGCUUUUAUAAGGGAAUAAAGUGAGUCUCGUGAGACUUUUUGCAUGUACCUUAUGAAUAAGGACCGGCUAAUUCCGUGCCAGCAGCCGCGGUAAUACGGAGGGUCCGGGCGUUAUCCGGAUUUAUUGGGUUUAAAGGGAGCGUAGGCCGGAUAUUAAGCGUGUUGUGAAAUGUAGACGCUCAACGUCUGCACUGCAGCGCGAACUGGUUUCCUUGAGUACGCACAAAGUGGGCGGAAUUCGUGGUGUAGCGGUGAAAUGCUUAGAUAUCACGAAGAACUCCGAUUGCGAAGGCAGCUCGCUGGAGCGCAACUGACGCUGAAGCUCGAAAGUGCGGGUAUCGAACAGGAUUAGAUACCCUGGUAGUCCGCACGGUAAACGAUGGAUGCCCGCUGUUGGUCUGAACAGGUCAGCGGCCAAGCGAAAGCAUUAAGCAUCCCACCUGGGGAGUACGCCGGCAACGGUGAAACUCAAAGGAAUUGACGGGGGCCCGCACAAGCGGAGGAACAUGUGGUUUAAUUCGAUGAUACGCGAGGAACCUUACCCGGGCUUGAAUUGCAGAGGAAGGAUUUGGAGACAAUGACGCCCUUCGGGGUCUCUGUGAAGGUGCUGCAUGGUUGUCGUCAGCUCGUGCCGUGAGGUGUCGGCUUAAGUGCCAUAACGAGCGCAACCCCUCUCCUUAGUUGCCUUCAGGUUAAGCUGGGCACUCUGGGGACACUGCCACCGUAAGGUGUGAGGAAGGUGGGGAUGACGUCAAAUCAGCACGGCCCUUACGUCCGGGGCUACACACGUGUUACAAUGGCAGGUACAGAGAGACGGUUGUACGUAAGUACGAUCAAAUCCUUAAAGCCUGUCUCAGUUCGGACUGGGGUCUGCAACCCGACCCCACGAAGCUGGAUUCGCUAGUAAUCGCGCAUCAGCCAUGGCGCGGUGAAUACGUUCCCGGGCCUUGUACACACCGCCCGUCAAGCCAUGAAAGCCGGGGGCGCCUAAAGUCCGUGACCGUAAGGAGCGUCCUAGGGCGAAACUGGUAAUUGGGGCUAAGUCGUAACAAGGUA